AAACGAAGCAGUGAACUUAAGCCCCAGUAAACGGCGGCCGUAACUAUAACGGUCCUAAGGUAGCGAAAUUCCUUGUCGGGUAAGUUCCGACCCGCACGAAAGGCGUAACGAUUUGGGCACUGUCUCAACAACAGACUCGGUGAAAUUGUAAUUCCGGUGAAGAUGCCGGAUACCUGCGACAGGACGGAAAGACCCCAUGGAGCUUUACUGUAGCUUGACAUUGGGUCUUGGUACUACAUGUACAGGAUAGGUGGGAGGCUUUGAAACCAGGACGCCAGUUUUGGCGGAGCCAUCCUUGGGAUACCACCCUUGUAGUACUGGGACUCUAACCAUAGGCCAUGAAUCUGGUCUUGGGACACUGUCAGGUGGGCAGUUUGACUGGGGCGGUCGCCUCCCAAAAGGUAACGGAGGCGCUCAAAGGUUCUCUCAGUACGGUCGGAAAUCGUACGUAGAGUGUAAAGGCAAAAGAGAGCUUGAUUGCAAGACAUACAGGUCGAGCAAGGAUGAAAAUCGGACUUAGUGAUCCGGUGGUUCUGCGUGGAAGGGCCAUCGCUCAACGGAUAAAAGCUACCCUGGGGAUAACAGGCUUAUCUCCCCCAAGAGUCCACAUCGACGGGGAGGUUUGGCACCUCGAUGUCGGCUCAUCACAUCCUGGGGCUGUAGUAGGUCCCAAGGGUUGGGC
This 682-nucleotide ribosomal RNA is filed under the name Clostridioides difficile. RNAcentral describes it as "bacterial LSU rRNA". It matches the Rfam family "Bacterial large subunit ribosomal RNA", at positions 1897 to 2577 of the family's 2925-position model. Lineage: Bacteria; Bacillati; Bacillota; Clostridia; Peptostreptococcales; Peptostreptococcaceae. The record is from RNAcentral.